This 1505-nucleotide long non-coding RNA is filed under the name Canis lupus familiaris (dog). Its description in RNAcentral is "lncRNA (ENSCAFG00845016506.1)". Lineage: Eukaryota; Metazoa; Chordata; Mammalia; Carnivora; Canidae. The record is from RNAcentral.
AAUAUUUGUGAAUGAAGCGGUAAGACAUCUGGGAUUUGCUUCAGAUAUACUUUGGUUCCUGUUGGGGAGAGGGGAGACGGAGCCAGGUAAGGUGUGAGUGGGUCACUGCUGAAGCCUGUUGACUGGCUCAGUGCAGGUGCCAGGCAAAGCUCAGACCCCCCUCCCCAACCUCCCCACCUGAGCGCUGCCCUGCGGGACCCCAUCCCAGUGUGGGGGCAUCGUGGAGGGGACACAGUCUAACCUUACUCCAAAGAGUUCCCCGGUUGUGGAAACUCACACUCAUUCUUGUGGUUCUUAAGCUUGCCCAAAGAACUUCAAGAAAAACCUUCUGGAUGACCCUAGGAUGAUUCGUGUCAUCUGCAGGCUGUAGGGGGCGCUAGAAGAACGUAAGCCUCUGUGGGCUGAGCGACAGCGCAACUCAGGCCUUGGGGAAGAUUCCGGAAGUUCUGAAAGAGCGUCCCCCAGGGCACAGAGGGCAUUUCACCUGUAAAAGCCAAAUGGUAGUUCCCUCCUGCCCCCCGUGGUUAUGAGAAAGAUCCAGUGUGGUUACACAGAUGGAACAACACAAAGGAGUUACAGGCGAAAAAGUUGCCUGAAGCCGGGACAACCAAAUGGCAUUGGGUCAGGAGACGUGUUUGCGUCCUAAGCCAGCUCUUGCAAUGUGGCAGAAGGAGCACCCGGAUCCAGAGAACUCUGGUUUCAAUUCCGGCCACACUCCUGCAGAGCUGUGUGGCCUUGGGUAGGUCACCGCCCCGCUCUGAGUAUCAGUUUCCACACCUGCAGCACGGGCAGCACCUAGAUGAGAGACAUUCAUUGGUGUGUCUUUUGCCCACUGAGCCCAGGCCCUGGCAGGGCGAGGCGAGAGAAAGAACUGAACAGGAAGGUGAGCUGGCCUCCCAGUCCCACGGUGAGGGGACUGCCAGGGGCUCCGGGCCUCGGGAGGCUCUGAGGCAGCAGCACGACUGCAGCAUGGACCAUGUUGGUGGAACUGGGCCUCAAGCCUGGCAGGGGAGGGAGAGGCACCUGGGCACCAGCUCUGCACAUUUGACCUGAGACUCAAGGCCUGGUUUUGCUGACCACAAAGUAGGGGACACUAGUCACGUGUCUUUACUUCUCUUUCUUCUUCUGUAAAGUGGGGGAGACUAUGCCAGCCUCCCGGGGUUCGGUGUGUGUGUACAGCUGGCUCAGAAGUUACCAUGUCCCCAGCAGCCUCUCCCCCAGCCCAGCUUUGCUCCCCAGCUCCUCCCAUCCCAGGGGCUUUGGGGGCACAGGAUCUGAGACUGGGCAAAAGGCAGAAACCCUGCAGAAUGAAUUGGUUCCUUUCUCCAGGCCGGGGAGGGGAAGGGACGCAACCAAAGCCCCCCGGUAAACUGGAAGCAGAGCCAGGCUGCUUCCCAGAGACGGUGGCAUUCUGGAAAGCAGAGGGCCUUCCGGCACUUACUAGGGUUUUGAUGUCUGAAUCUGUGUCCUUGUACCUCGUGCUGUGACUUCUGGUGGGUUCCCUU